GGAUAACCUGCCUCUUGGUGGGGGAUAACGGUUGGAAACGACCGCUAAUACCGCAUGUGGCUGCCGGAUCGCAUGGUCCGGCAAAGAAAGGCGCUUUCGGGCGCCGCCAAGAGAUGGAUCCGCCCCCCAUUAGCUUGUUGGUGAGAUAACAGCUCACCAAGGCAUCGAUGGGUAGCCGAGCUGAGAGGUUGAUCGGCCACACUGGGACUGAGACACGGGCCAG
Molecule: ribosomal RNA, 223 nt
Filed under: uncultured bacterium
Lineage: Bacteria
Description: partial 16S ribosomal RNA
Rfam family: Bacterial small subunit ribosomal RNA
Source: RNAcentral